RNAcentral lists this long non-coding RNA (852 nucleotides) under Mustela putorius furo (domestic ferret). RNAcentral describes it as "lncRNA (ENSMPUG00000026246.1)". The record is from RNAcentral. Lineage: Eukaryota; Metazoa; Chordata; Mammalia; Carnivora; Mustelidae.
CUGACUAGGUCAGACUUUGCCCAUGUCUCCAAAGUCAGUCAAGGUUUCAAUUUGGCCAGUUUUUGGGAAUUCAGGGAGGGGUUAGACAAAGUCCCUACUCCUUGAAGAAUUCACCUUCUAACAGAGAGACCAAAACUUAAAAAAGAAAAGUUAAUUUCAGGUACUGAUGGGAACCACCUUGAAAAUAGAAUGUGGCUACGUUACAGAUGUGAUAAGGAUGAAGGGGUGGAAGAAGUCAUACAGAUGUGUGCGCGCAGGGAAGGCCUGAGGAUGUGGUGGUUGUACUGAGAUCCAAAUGACAAAGUGAACCAGCUCUGUGGAGAUCUAUGAAGAACAUUCCAGGAAGGAGAAGCAGCAAAUGCCCCAGGAGAUGAGCAUGGUUUGUUUGAGGAACAGCAACAAAGCCACAGGAGCAUAUGGAGCCUCUGUGGACUGGGAUAAGAUGUUCCAUCGCUUCUUUUCAUAUUUCAUCUUCUAAGAACAUGUCAUUGAGGCUCUCAGAGGUGCUGGGUUCUCCCAAAUGGUGGUGGCCGCAAGCUGGAGCUGCAGUGGGGAUACUCGCUCGGCUGAUUCACCGGCAAAUCUGAACAGAGAAAUUGUUCUGUUGUGGUGCCUCUGCCAUGGGUAAAGGCAAUUCUUGUGUGAUGUGCUGGGACAGUCAAAAAAACCAUACGUGAAAGGCAUGGAACAGGAUGCAUCCCACAAAGUAAAACAACUUGCAGUUCUGAAAAACAAUCUGAGGGGUUUGAAGUGGCGGGGGGCGGGGUGGGAGGUUGGGGUACCAGUUGGUGGGUAUUAUAGAGGGCACAGAUUGCAUGGAGCACUGGGUGUGGUGAAAAAAUAAUGAAUACU